AGUCGUACGCUUCUUUUUCCACCGGAGCUUGCUCCACCGGAAAAAGANGAGUGGCGAACGGGUGAGUAACACGUGGGUAACCUGCCCAUCAGAAGGGGAUAACACUUGGAAACAGGUGCUAAUACCGUAUAACAAUCGAAACCGCAUGGUUUUGAUUUGAAAGGCGCUUUCGGGUGUCGCUGAUGGAUGGACCCGCGGUGCAUUAGCUAGUUGGUGAGGUAACGGCUCACCAAGGCCACGAUGCAUAGCCGACCUGAGAGGGUGAUCGGCCACAUUGGGACUGAGACACGGCCCAAACUCCUACGGGAGGCAGCAGUAGGGAAUCUUCGGCAAUGGACGAAAGUCUGACCGAGCAACGCCGCGUGAGUGAAGAAGGUUUUCGGAUCGUAAAACUCUGUUGUUAGAGAAGAACAAGGAUGAGAGUAACUGUUCAUCCCUUG
This 440-nucleotide ribosomal RNA is filed under the name Enterococcus durans. RNAcentral's name for it is "bacterial SSU rRNA". It matches the Rfam family "Bacterial small subunit ribosomal RNA", at positions 60 to 471 of the family's 1533-position model. The record is from RNAcentral. Lineage: Bacteria; Bacillati; Bacillota; Bacilli; Lactobacillales; Enterococcaceae.